Molecule: ribosomal RNA, 301 nt
Filed under: uncultured bacterium
Lineage: Bacteria
Description: partial 16S ribosomal RNA
Rfam family: Bacterial small subunit ribosomal RNA
Source: RNAcentral
CAGUAGCCGCGGGAAUACGAAGGGUGCAAGCGUUAAUCGGAAUUACUGGGCGUAAAGCGUGCGUAGGCGGUGAGUUAAGUCUGCUGUGAAAUCCCCGGGCUCAACCUGGGAAUGGCAGUGGAUACUGGCUCGCUAGAGUGUGUCAGAGGAUGGUGGAAUUCCCGGUGUAGCGGUGAAAUGCGUAGAGAUCGGGAGGAACAUCAGUGGCGAAGGCAGCCCCCUGGGUCAAUACUGACGCUCAUGCACGAAAGCGUGGGGAGCAAACAGGAUUAGAUACCCCUGUAGUCCCUGUCUCUUAUAC